CUGACGAGUCCUUUACUGACGCUAAAGCUCGAAGGUGCGGGUAUCGAACAGGAUUAGAUACCCUGGUAGUCCGCACGGUAAACGAUGGAUGCCCGCUGUUUGCGAUAUAUUGUAAGCGGCCAAGCGAAAGCGUUAAGCAUCCCACCUGGGGAGUACGCCGGCAACGGUGAAACUCAAAGGAAUUGACGGGGGCCCGCACAAGCGGAGGAACAUGUGGUUUAAUUCGAUGAUACGCGAGGAACCUUACCCGGGCUUGAACUGCAGGAGAACGAUCCAGAGAUGGUGAGGCCCUUCGGGGCUCCUGUGGAGGUGCUGCAUGGUUGUCGUCAGCUCGUGCCGUGAGGUGUCGGCUUAAGUGCCAUAACGAGCGCAACCCCUUUCGCCAGUUGCCAUCAGGUGAUGCUGGGCACUCCGGCGACACUGCCACCGUAAGGUGUGAGGAAGGUGGGGAUGACGUCAAAUCAGCACGGCCCUUACGUCCGGGGCUACACACGUGUUACAAUGGGUGGUACAGAGAGCAGGGUGCACGCAAGUUCACCCGAAUCAAGAAAGCCAUCCUCAGUUCGGAUUGGGGUCUGCAACCCAACCCCAUGAAGCUGGA
This 601-nucleotide ribosomal RNA is filed under the name uncultured bacterium. Its description in RNAcentral is "bacterial SSU rRNA". It matches the Rfam family "Bacterial small subunit ribosomal RNA", at positions 725 to 1330 of the family's 1533-position model. The record is from RNAcentral.